CGAAAUGUGCUCACCACAACAACCAUCAUGAUGGCUUAAUGAAUUUCAUGCACAGGGAUGAGGAGGUACAUUGUUCUUUAAAACUUUUCAUCCCCCUUCCGCUUGCAUGAUGCCGUAUUUCCCCCGAUUGACAGAAAUAAUAUGUAGUUAUGUUUCAAGUCCACUGCAAUUACAUAUAUUUGGCUUUUUUUUUCAGGUGAACUACUUCCCUUCAAGGUUUGAUCCUACCCGUCAUGCUGAACAGUACCCUAUCCCUCCUCGUGUUCUAUCUGGCUGCCGGGAGAAGGUAUGCAACUUGAGCCCGUUCGAACUGUGACUAAAAUACUCUAGGGAUUAAUGCCCCCACCACCAUUUGUUUGACAAAUGGUUUGCUACAUUUGUACUUUUGGAACUGCAGUGCAUUAUCAAGAAGGAGAACAAUUUCAAGCAGGCUGGCGAGAGAUACCGGUCCUUCGACCCUGCCAGGUUCAUCCCAAACUCAGUUUGAUUUGUUUCAAGUCUUUUAGGCACAUAGAAGAAAUCAAGCAGCGUUGCUAACCGAACUGUAUCUUAUAUGAAAACACAGGCAAGACCGUUUCCUCCAGCGGUGGGUUGAUGCCCUCACGGAUGCUCGCGUUACCCAUGAAAUCCAGGGCAUCUGGGUCUCAUACUGGUCACAGGUACACUUCUGUUCUUUAUUUUCAGUUGACCAUGCACACUGCUCUACUGCUACGUGUAUCUGGGAUUAUUCAAGCACACUGAAACCAACCAUGCUUUUACCAAUUCUGUUUGCAGUGCGACGCAUCCCUCGGGCAGAAGCUGGCGUCGCGGCUCAAGAUGAAGCCGAACAUGUAGAUGGGCAAGGAGGAUCGGACCAGUCGCUCACUCGCCUCGCUUGGUGUCGAUCAAGCGAAGAAAGGGUGCGGCAUGAACUGAAUCUGUCUUUGUGUGGGUGUAGCCAUGAAUAAAAAUGUGUAACAGUGAAAUGAAUAUCGUAUGUAAUACCGAUGAACGAUGAUGGUGGGUGUUGUGACCCGGUGUUUGCCGGGUUCGUCCGUCGUAUUGUGUCUGUGCAAAAGAGAAAAUAAAAGACAGUUAGUUGGUUAAUCUUUGCUGUGAAAAUAAAAGACAGUCUGAUAGAAGCUUUGAUGAUCCAUUUUGUUUGGCUUUCCUGCCACUGUUGUGGCAUAAUUUCAGAUAUGGUAAUUUCAGAUCAGGAGAUUUUUCUGCUGUUAAAAAAUUCAAACAGGAAGGCCAAAAAAAAAAGAUUUGGGAGUCUGUCAGACAACCUCCUCUGGGCCACCCUGCACAGGUGUGAGCCAGGCAGGAACGAUCCUCUACAGCCGUCGGAUUGCCUCCAUCAGAGGAAUCCUGGACGUUAAUCACGCUCUGGCCCAGAGGGCAGAGGUCAUCAACCAGACUGAAGUGCUUGCCUCCUUAUUGGUAAAGGAUGCAGCGGUACGAGCCUAUAGAACAGAUCCUGUUCAAGUAAGGUCGUGCUACGAGCUGCAGCGCCUCGCCUUAUAAACCGGUGCCGCUCCCCGCGAACUAGCGAGGUGGGACUAAUGUAAAGGAGCGCGCAGCAGCGCAGCGCAUCGCCUCCUCUCGGUCGCAGGCUCGCAGCUUAGGACUCGUGGGGUGCUGGGCCAUGUGGUUGGGCUGAAGAGGACACGCGGCGCGGCCCAUCUGAGUGAGAUAAUACUUGUCCUGUACGGCUUUUCUUUCCUGUGAUUUUGAAUUUCUUUUUCCUUUCCUGUAUCGCAGUUGCAUCAGAUUUGCAUUUACACCUAAAAAAAACAGUUUUUCAUUUUUCUUCCCUGUGAUGUUUAUUUUUUGUCAACCUGCGAACACUAAGUUGUUUUCGCAAUAUACUCGUAUUUUCUUGUUAGUUCAUCCAUUACUAUUAAAUAUUAUAUAAUGAAAACACCCAUGCGGCAUUUUCUGGAAUACAAUUAAAAGCGUCCACGGAAAAAUCCCACAGAUAUUUAUCCAAUAAAAAAAAGAGUUCCGUACACAAUCAAGUAAAGAAAAGUCGUUAAUUACUUGUCACAAAAAUGGAUGUAUCUACAACUAAAAUACAUCUAGAUACAUAUAUUUCUUGGACGAGUAGUUCCGAACGGAGGGAGUACCUUUGUUGUGCACUUUUGUUGCAUUUCCAGCGCUCAUUUUCGAAGUAUUGUCCAACCUCGGCUCAGCCUCACCUUCUUGCUGCAUGUUCAUCAGGGAAUAAUCACUGAACUUGCUGACCCUUGCAUAAAAAACCAACAGACAAUCUAGAAAAACAGCCACCUGCUCUUCCCUUCUCCAUUCUCAACUUGCCUUUUCUCCCCGCGGGCAGAAGGCAUAGACAAGCUUAUCCUUGGGUUUCAACACCAUGCAUGGAUAUCACACACAGGAAAAGGUUGGUGCUGCUAUUAAACAGGUGCAUCGCUAUUUCUGUACAGUUAAUAAUUCAGUAAUGGAGCUGUCACUCACAUAACUCACCAAAUGUGGAUAGACAUAGUUGAUCCGCAAGUAGUUGGCAAGCAGUUGAUCUUCUCUUUUCUAUUCAUUCCCAGUUGGCAGCAACUGACCAUGCACUGCCAUACUGCUAUGUACUCCCUCUGUUCGGAAUUACUCGUCGAAGAAAUGAAUGUACCUAGAUGUAUUUUAGUCGUAGAUACAUUCAUUUUUAUGACAAUUAAUUCCGAACGGAGGAAGUACUUAUGUAUACCUGGAUCAUAUGAACACACACUGGAACCAACCAAUGUUUUUACCAAUGCUGUUUGCGGUAUGACGCGUCCCGGCUCAAGAUUAAGCCGAACAUAUAGAUGUGCAAGGAGGGUGCAGCCAUGGUUGGUGUCGAUCGAGCGGGCCAAGGAGGGUGCAGCAUGAACUGAAUCUGUCCUGCGUGGGUGUAGCCAUGAAUAAAAAUGUGUAACAGUGAAAUGAAUAUCGUAUGUAAUACCGAUGA
This 2932-nucleotide long non-coding RNA is filed under the name Triticum aestivum (bread wheat). Its description in RNAcentral is "long non-coding RNA (TAES_LNC017170)". The stretch from base 2571 to 2685 matches the Rfam family "MIR1120/MIR1122 microRNA precursor family". Lineage: Eukaryota; Viridiplantae; Streptophyta; Magnoliopsida; Poales; Poaceae. The record is from RNAcentral.